GAUGAAGAACGUAGCGAAAUGCGAUACUUGGUGUGAAUUGCAGAAUCCCGUGAACCAUCGAGUCUUUGAACGCAAGUUGCGCCCGAAGCCACUAGGCCGAGGGCACGCCUGCCUGGGCGUCACACGCCGUUGCCCCCCCAUCUACUCCUUCGGGAUUGCGGGGGGGCGGAUGAUGGCCUCCCGUGCGCCUAGCCGCGCGGUUGGCAUAAAUACCAAGUCCUCGGCGACGCACGCCACGACAAUCGGUGGUUGCGAAACCUCGGUUGCCCGUCGUGUGCGUUCGUCGCGCAUCGAGGGCUCGAAAAAAUGCUCGGCUCCGGCUGGGCUUUCAACGCGACCCCAGGUCAGGCGGGGUUACCCGCUGAAUUUAAGCAUAUCAAUAAGCGGAAGA
Molecule: unclassified non-coding RNA, 391 nt
Filed under: soil metagenome
Description: partial contains 5.8S ribosomal RNA, internal transcribed spacer 2, and large subunit ribosomal RNA
Rfam family: 5.8S ribosomal RNA (bases 1-122)
Source: RNAcentral